Molecule: ribosomal RNA, 824 nt
Filed under: Pseudoalteromonas sp. UST050418-832
Lineage: Bacteria; Pseudomonadati; Pseudomonadota; Gammaproteobacteria; Alteromonadales; Pseudoalteromonadaceae
Description: bacterial SSU rRNA
Rfam family: Bacterial small subunit ribosomal RNA
Source: RNAcentral
UGACGGCGGCGGCUACACAUCCAGUCUNACGGUAACAGAGAGUAGCUUGCUACUUUGCUGACGAGCGGCGGACGGGUGAGUAAUGCUUGGGAAUAUGCCUUUUGGUGGGGGACAACAGUUGGAAACGAGCUGCUAAUACCGCAUGAUGUCUACGGACCAAAGUGGGGGACCUUCGGGCCUCACGCCAAAAGAUUAGCCCAAGUGGGAUUAGCUAGUUGGUAAGGUAAUGGCUUACCAAGGGCAACGAUCCCUAGCUGGUUUGAGAGGAUGAUCAGCCACACUGGUGACUGAGACACGGCCCAGACUCCUACGGGAGGCAGCAGUGGGGAAUAUUGCACAAUGGGCGCAAGCCUGAUGCAGCCAUGCCGCGUGUGUGAAGAAGGCCAUUCGGGUUGUAAAGCACUUUCAGCUCAGGAGGAAAGGGUCGUGUUUAAUAGAGCAUAUCUGUGACGUUACUGACAGAAGAAGCACCGGCUAACUCCGUGCCAGCAGCCGCGGUAAUACGGAGGGUGCGAGCGUUAAUCGGAAUUACUGGGCGUAAAGCGUACGCAGGCGGUUUGUUCACAGCGAGAUGUGAAAGCCCCGGGCUCAACUGGGAACUGCAUUUCGAACUUGGACAAACUAGAGUGUGAUAGAAGGGGGUGGUAAGAAUUUUCCAAGGGUUGUAGCGGGUGCAAAUGCCGUAGAGAUCUUGAAGGGAAUACCGAUGGCGAAAGGCAGCCACCUGGGUCCACACUGACGGCUCANNUACAAAGCGUGGGGAGCACAACACGGAUUUAUNCCCUGGUUAUUCCCACCCGUAACNAUNUUUACUAAACUCGGAC